UCUUCAUCUUAGAUAAACUUCUUUUCUAAGAAGACGGCAUGAUGGUUCACAAUCACAUUAUGAUCUUUUAAAAGAUAGAAAUAGUACUUCAUGAAUUUCUUAGGAUACCCUAUAAAAUGAGCCCUAAGUGACCUAGCCUCUAACUUGUCCAUGUGUUGUAGCUUGACAUGAGCUGGAUAUCCCCAAAUCUUAAGAUAACCAAGACUCAGCUUCUUACUA
Molecule: long non-coding RNA, 219 nt
Filed under: Elaeis guineensis (African oil palm)
Lineage: Eukaryota; Viridiplantae; Streptophyta; Magnoliopsida; Arecales; Arecaceae
Description: long non-coding RNA (EGUI_LNC034833)
Source: RNAcentral